Molecule: long non-coding RNA, 788 nt
Filed under: Marmota monax (woodchuck)
Lineage: Eukaryota; Metazoa; Chordata; Mammalia; Rodentia; Sciuridae
Source: RNAcentral
CAGGUGACUCCCAUGCAAGCCUACCUGGAAGAAGGGACUUGGUUUAAAAUGAAUUAGGAUCAUUCUUCCUGGUUUCAUCCUCUGACAGGUGGAGGGGAAAAAAAGGUCAGAAAUGUGUUUUGUAACUUUUUUAGCACCUUCCAAGUUUGGUGCUUUAGAUUUUGGUUGCAGUGGGUGGGAGAUUAGAGACCAGCUUGUGUGUGUGUCGGGUCAUGCCCAGUGAUGUCAGGUACGUCUGUAUUCUCAUUCCCACUGCUAGAGGGGAAUCAAGAGUGAAGCUACUCAUUCCAGUCUUAAGGAGAAUAUGGAGAGGAGUGGGGCAGUCUCUGUGUUUAGGACCAGAUGGGUCCUUAAGGUAGUUUCAUAAGUUGAUUAUGAAUCUCCCUGCAGAUGGCUAGGGCCUUGGGAACUCUGGAUACUCUUAGUGGACAUUCCAUUCAUCUUUUGAGUCCCUACUGUGUUCUAGUUACUGAUUUGGAGGAAAAAAAUGAAUAAAAUAUAGCCUCAGCCCUUAGUGUAGUUUGGCAGGUGUCUUAGGACAUACUCAGUGAGUGCAAUAGCACAGAGGCACAGAGGAGAGAGUGACUGUUUGUCUAGGGAAGUCAGGAGGAUUUCACAGAGAAGGUGGGGCAUUUGACCUGGAUUGUCAGAAGAUGAACCAGAAUUCUUCAGGUCCAAAAGAUGAGAAAGUUUUCAGAGAAAACUCAGAAGGAUAGAGUGGAUUGAGGGUACUCAGGUGGGUCCACUACCCAUCUUGUUUGGUAACCAGAAUACCAGAUUCCCCCUUA